Molecule: long non-coding RNA, 11505 nt
Filed under: Capsicum annuum
Lineage: Eukaryota; Viridiplantae; Streptophyta; Magnoliopsida; Solanales; Solanaceae
Description: long non-coding RNA (CANN_LNC001373)
Source: RNAcentral
CUUUCUAAUAGAGAAUAUUAUCUUUUCACUUUUUUCCUCAAAUUAAGAUGUUUUUAUUUUUAUAAUACUGAAAAACCAAACAGUCCGAAAAUAUUUAGAACCUAAAAUAGAGAGAAAAAUAUAUGGAAAAUUUUCCUUAGAACACUCCUUUCAUAUUUAGAGUCCUUUUUAAUAGCAAAAUAAAAAAAAAAUCCAACUCACGUUUCUAUUUAAGUGGGAAAAAAACCUAUCUCCUAGCAUGUGUUAUGCCUCACACAACUUUUGUUAUUACGUUUCUUUAGUAUAGGAUUUUUGGGGAUUUUUUUUUCUUUUUUCUUUAUUUAUCACUUUAUAUAUGUUUUAGUUUCAUGUCCUAAUGAUAUGAAGCUUUGUUUGUUUAAUAUUUUGUGUUAUGAGGAGAAGAAGUUAAUGCUAUCGAUAGCAAUUUGAAGUAUGAAUUUAAUUUAAAGAAUUAAAAAAACACAUUAGUUGAUAACUUUAAAGAUUAUAUAUGAAUUGUACAUAUUUAAUAACUGAUUUUCUUCUUUUGAUAAUUUCUCAUGUGUCUCUUUCAGUUGCAAAUUUCUUAUUGAAUAGUUGGACGAAACAAAUAAGUUGUUGCUGAUUGGAGUAGUCAAAAAAUUCAAAGGUUUAUUUCUUUUUUUUCUUGUUCUUUAUUUAAAUAAUUUUUUUUGUAAACCUCUCAAACUCUAAAGAUUUAUCAUAUAUCACGAUUUAUAGUUUUGAAAUAAUACGUUGAAUAGUUACUACAGAAUGAAAAUCUUAAAAAGUCAAAAAAAAGGCCUAUAUCUUUAAUUUGAAGUUCUUUUUACGUUCUUCACUUUUUCUUUACGGUUGGAAAGUGUUAAUGAUGAUGUUUAUGCUUAAAAAUGAAGACCACGACGAAGACGAAGAAAAUCAAAAUAAAGAAAUUGUUGAAGACAAUCAAUUCCGGGUGAGGUAACUCAACAUCAACUUUACAUGUAUGUUUUACAAUUAAAUGUAAAUUUCAAGGACAUGCAGUUUUUACAUGUAUUUGCUUUUGGUAAAAUAAAACCAAAUAGCUCUGGGACUUCUACAGACUCUGUUAGAAAAGUUAUUAGCUUAGAAGGCAAAAUAUAAUUUAAAUGAUGUAUCAUUGAAAAUAUUUUUUUUCUUUUUUUUAUUGUUUGAAAUCAAGUUUCUAUUAGAAACAAUUUUUCCUCCUUUUUGAGAAGGAGAUAAGAUCAUGAAAUUAUGACAACAAUUUUCAUGUAUUAUUAAAUUUACAUUGCCUAGCUAACAUAUCUAUUAAUAUCUACUUAAAUUUAAUCUUUCCUAAUCCAUCUACCUUGAUGAGUAUGUUUGUCGUGUUCUCAAUAGUGUGCUAAUAUACGCGAUUGCUUUAAGUGUUUUGUGGGCUUAAUUAUUAUUUAUUAUGUGCACGAUAUUCUAUUCUUUAUGCUUAUUAUGUGUGUGUACAAUUAAAAUUUCUAUAAGAAAUGUGAUGAACACUUUGUUAACACAUUGAUAACCUUUCGUUCAAUAUAUCAUCAUAGAUGUUUUUAUUGUCUUACGACUUUUAGUUAUAUUUUACUAUUAUUAUUUUAGAUAUAGCUUUGGAAUCUAAACCUUACUCGAAGGAAUUGGUGCCUUUAAAGGGUAAAAUUAUUUGAAAGAAUUUGUGUCUGAAAAGUAAUUAAUUGAUAUUCUUCUCUAAAAGUGAGUUUUGAUGAUUAAUUUGUAUUGUGAAAGAACACGAUAGAAUUGAAUUUAUAUGUAUUAUGAAAAUUUAUUGAAUUUGUUUUAGAAAAAUUAUUUGUUUUAGAAAAAUUAUGUUCAUUUAUAUGUAUCUAAUAUAUAUAAUUGGAGCAAUUCCUAGAGUUAUGAUUUAUUUUUUCAUAUUAAACAGUUGAAUGAAUUUAAUUUGAUAGAUGUAUAUUUCAAAUAGAUGGAGAUGAGCUACUAACAUGUUAAAAAAAAAAACUCUAAGAUACGUCAUGCAUUCCUUGGUGGAUUAGGACAAUUUCAAAUUAUACAAGGUGUAAGAAUUAUAUCUGAACAUGAUAUAUAUUUUUCGUUUAAAAAAGAAUGAUAUAUUUUAACUUGACAUGAAAUUUAAUAUAUUAAAGAAGAUAUUUGAAUUUUUUGAUCUUAAAUUAAAAUAAUGUCAAAUGUAUCAAAAUGUCAUUUAAUCUUAUGGUCUUAAAAAUGUCACGUAAAAAGUUAAAAUUAAAAUAUUAUCAAAAAAAUAACAACAACAAAUCCAGUGUAUUCCCACUAAGUGGGGUAUGGGGAGGAUAAAAUGUACGCAAUUCAUACCGCUACCUCCGAAGAAGUAGAGAGAUUGUUUUCGAUAAACCCCCGGCUCAAGAUAAAGAAUAGUAAAACAAGGUCAUAGUACUACAUGAAACAGAAUGUGUGGCAUAACCGAAAUAAGAAAUGAAAAAUAAUAAAAAUAGAGCUAAGGGAGACACGAAAAUAAGAGCAAUACUAAUAAAAAUAGGAGAUAAGAAAUAAGAAACGACCACCCCCAGUAGUCGCAAACACUAGCGGUUCCCACCAAUGAACAGAGUCCUAGGAUUACUAACCUGACUACACCAAAGCCCCCUAAAUACUCAUUACCACACACACACGCACUAACCUUCUACUCUUAUCCGUGACCUCCACACCUUCCUAUCUAGAGUCAUGUCCUCGGUAAGCUGAAGUAGCCUCAUGUCAUAUCUAAUCACUUCUCUCCAGUAUUUCUUCGGCCUACCUCUUCCCCUCCUGAAAUCAUCCAAAACUAGCCUCUCACACCUACGAACUAGGGCAUCCAUGCCCCUCCUUAUCACAUGCCUAAACCAUCUCAGCCUUCCUUCCCGCAUCUUGUCCUCCACCGAAGUCACUCCCACCUUUUCCCAGACAGUUUCAUUCCUAACUCUAUCCCCUCUAGUAAGUCCACACAUCCAACACAACAUUCUCAUUUUCGCUACCUUCAAUUUUUGAAUGUCGAAGUUCUUGACUGGCCAACACUUCACACCAUACUAUCAAUCAUUUUAAAAUAAUUCAUUUUAAAAUGGAAUAAAAAUAAUCUUAUUUUCUUACAUUUCUGUGUUAAAUAUUUUAUUUUCAGCCAAGAGUCAAAUAAUUUAUUUUAGUUAUGGCAAGGCUAAAUAUAAUUAAUAUUAUUUUGGGACUCAAUAACUACGAGUUUCACUGAUCUUUUUAUCUUCUAAAAGUAUUAAGAUAAUUUAGUACAAGGACUUGAACACUUCAAUUUAAAAAGGUCAAUAUUUCAUAUCGAAGGAGGGGAAUUAAAUUUUUAAUUUUUGUAUUGAAAUGUAAUAUUUAUUUAUAUCAUUUAAAUAGAUAUAAUAUUUAUUUAUAUAAUUUAAAUAUAUAUAAUAGUUAUUUAAAUUUUAAUUGCUACUUUUAGUAAUAUCUUUUUUCAUGUAUAUAUAAUUUUAUCAAUUAACAUAAAACACACGUGCAAAGUACAUGCCCUAUACUAGUUAACACAAUACAUCAGGAGGAGGCCUAACAACGUGCUCAACUCGAAAUUCACAGUACAGUUACAAAGUAUAAGUUAUUUAAAACUUAAUUUUCGUGGUUGGUGUACAUUCAUCGUUCUUACUAAGCAUAUUCCAAAUUUGUUGCUUAUCUUCUUCGCAUAAAUAUCCUUUUUGUUAUCUGUCUUGAGCCGGGGGUUUAUCGGAAACAACCUCUCUACUUCAUUUGAGAUAGUGGGAUGGACUGCGUACACUUUAUCCUCCCCAUACCCCACUUGAUGGAAUACACUGGGUAUGUUGUUGUUGUCUACUUUGAUAGAUUUCGUGAUUGGCUUAAUUUGAUUAAGCACUUUGUUAAAAUCUUUGUGAUUGGUGUUUAAUUAAUCAUGUAUGCUGUCACACGUGAAAAUUUUCCAAUUUUUGAUAUAUUUUUUUAAUAACAGGGGCAAUUGUGUUAGUUUCUAUGUCAUCUUGAAUUGGUUUAAUUACCUUUCUUUUGGCCAUUGGGAGUUGUAGAAGAUAAUGGAGGUUAAAAUUCAAUAACUACGUCUCUUACUGGGUCUAUUUCAUUCCAAUGCUAAAUUACGGAUGUAGUGUUUGGAAUGAGUACUAGUGACUUCAAAAUGAUUGAGUGUAGUCACUUAAGAAGUGGGUUAGCAACUUGAAAUGGAAACUUGUGUUUUGAUAUUAGUAAAGUGUAAUCACUUGAAAAUGUGAAUUAACGACUUGAAAUUGAUUUAGUGUCGACACUUGAAAUGUGAAUUCAUGAAUUGAACACGGUUAGGUUUAGUCACUUGAAAUGUGAAUUAGAGAGUUGAAAAUGUUUAAGUGUAGUGUUUUGAAAAUGGUUAACUAUAGUGACUUGAAAUGUCAAUUAGCUAUUUGAAUAUGGUUUGAGUGUAGUGACUUGAAAUGUGAAUAAGUUAUUUGAAGAUUAUCAAGUGUAGUGACUUGAAAAUGAUCAAGUGUAGUUACUUGAAAUUGCAAACUUGUGACUUGAAAAUGGUUUAAGUGUAGUUACUUGAAAUUGUGAACUAGUGAUUUAAAAAAAUAGUCGUGUAGUUACUUGAAAUGUGAAUUAGCUACUUGAAAGUGGUUAAGUAUAGUGACUUGAAAUGAAUGAUUAAGUGUAGUCACUUGAAAAUGAUUAAGUAUAGUUAUUUGAAAUGUGAAGUAGUUACCUGAAAAUGCAUGGCUAAGUAUAGUGACUUGAAAUGUGAAUUAAUAAUUUGAAAAUGAUUAAGUGUAGUAACUUGCAAUGUGAAUUAGUUAUUUGAAAAUGGUUAAGUGUAGUGACUUGAAAUAUCUACUAGUGAUUUAAAAAUGAUUAAGUGCAGUGACUUGAAAUGUGUACUAGUGACUUGAAAAUGGUUAAGUGUAAGUUACUUCAAAAUGGUUAGUAUAGUGACUUGAUGUAACGCCCCGAAAAUGGGUUCCGAGACGUCACACGGUGCUUAGGACCACAAGUAGGCCCAAGCUAACCCUUAUACUAGCGUAACUCAUGAACAACUAAUUAAGAUACAUAAUUCUGAACAAAAUAAGCGGAAGAUGACUCUUUUCUAAAUUUGACCAAUGUAAAACUGAAUUCAGAUAAUUACAACUCUACUUUUACAACAAAACUGAAAUAAAAUACACAACUUUACUGACUGUCUAUGAAACCUCUACUAUACUGACUAUAAAUGGUUGGAAAGCUACUCCAACUAUCACUAAUCAGUACAUAUGAAUAAGAAAAUAAACAACAUAAAUGAAUCUAACUGAAGUCCCCUAAGUAGGAGGACUCUUCAUCUUGUUGGCUGGAAUCUGCAACUGCCUGAAUCUAAAUGUGCAUACUAAGUCUUUUACCUACAUUAUGAGACAAUGUAACACAUAGACAUAUAUGUGGAUCAGUACUUUGAGGAUAUACUGAGUAUAUGGGGGUGCAGUGCAUAAGUAAAAUAAUCUCAUGAUCAUCAUUUAUAAAAUAAUGCAUGCUAAAUGUAAAUGACUCACAUAGCUUGAGUAAUAUGAAAUCUGGAUAUCAUAAAUCAUGAAGAGUAAAGCAUGUAAUAGAAAACUCGUGAGUCAUCACACUUGGUUCUAAAAUCUGUAGUUCUAUCCCCUUCUCAAAACAUAUAGACUAAGUGGUAAAGAGCUCACCUCUGUAUCUGAAAUCUAAGACUGUAACUUUGAAACAAAAAUCUCAAGUAAAACAAUAUCUGAAUAAGCAUGUGAGCCUUUACACUUAGUAUCUAAAAUCUUUAGAGAAAUUACUUUUAAAACAUUUCUUUAUUGGAAAGAAAAAGAAAUAACUUAUCUACAAGGGAAAAUACUUUGAUCUUAAGGGGAUACUUUCAAAAGCUUUUCUUAACUAGUAGGGAAAAUACUCAAAAGCUGUUUAUUUACUUUUACUAGCAGAAAAAAAUACUUUCUUUAAGGGAAAAAUACUUUAAGAAACUACUCUGAAAAUCUUACUACUAGGGAGGUUCUCUUAACCGACAUAAACCAUGCGAGCUACUUGGAGUCCAACGUUUUUGUCCUCCUAAGGAAGAAACCUCACGCUGGGGAAGGUGUCAUACUCUUGCCAGGGAGUAUAACCUAAACUUAGUGAUCACUAUCUCGGCCUUAGGCCCAAAAGUCUCAAUCCUACGGUGGCAUGUAGUUCUGGGGUGUGAAACCAUAGUAACUUACCCAACUCGGUGCUAAAUACUACUCCCUUUAAUUAGCUACGCUCAUCUCGUGGAAAUCCACAUUGAAACUCGCAUAAGGAUUUAUUAGGAAACCAUUUAUGCACUCAAUCAUUUGUUGAAUAACUCUGUAAAGUGGAUUUCAAAACUCAUAUGAGGAUCAAAGAUUAUAUACUACUUAUAUAAUUGAGUAUCAAUAUAUCAAACUCAUGUAAAUGCAUGGCAAAUCAUCAUGCUUCGCAAGGUUUCUCAAAAUGCUUCAAUAAUAUCAAAGUAAUAGCUUCAAAUCACAAUCUCAUAUUCAAUUCAAUGAAAAAAACUAUAAACAAUGUCUCAAAUCAUGUUCAUGGUAUUCAAAGUCACAACAGAGCCUUCUUUAACUCAAGGAAACCAUAAAAUUUCAUAAAUCAAUCACAUCAUGCUCAAAAUUCAUCAACCAGAUACUUUGGGUGUAAACCCUAUAUUCAAAAUCAUAAGAAAUCCAUUAGAAACAUAAUUUUUGGGCACAAGAGCGAAAGGAUUGCUCUUGUUCAAACCCCGCAUACCUUAAUGGUGAUAAAAUUGUUGAAAGAUUGGACCUUCAAGCUUGAUUGAAAGAAACCUUGUAGAGAGCUUUGAAUUCGGAGCUUAACUUCUUGAUUCUUGAGAGGUAAACUUAGAUUUUGUUCUUGGGAAGAGGGGAAGGGUUUUGGAUCGUAACUUGACUGAUUUGGGGCUUAGGGAUUGUAAAUAAUGUGUUUAAAAAUCUCUUAUAACAAUUUAGAGUAAUUAGGGACGAUAUAAGUCAAAACAAAAUAUUUUUGGCACUUGGAAGUGACUUAGACGGCGCCCAAUCAAUCGUACAAGCCAGGUUGGGCGACACCUUGUCAAUCGCCUCAGUUUGAUUGGGCGGCACCUAACCAAUCGCAUACCCUUAUUGCCUCCUAAAAAAAUGCGCAUAACUUUUUGCUCGGGUACUGGAUUAAAGAGAAAUUGGUAUCGUUGGAAAGAUAAUUCGAUUAUCUACAAUUUGGUGUGUCUUGAGCUGGAUAAUUCUAUGUACACAAAAAGUUAUGCAUAUUCAAAAUUGACCCUUAUAGAAUCGAAUAGAAAGAUUUAGUCAAAUCAAAGGCUCUUAGCUCAACUUUGCUCUAAGUGCUUUCUAUGAACAUUUUUCACCUUGAGAGCUCUUCACACACUAGUAUAAUGAUCAUGAAACUAAUAUCCACAUGGGAAUCAUUUUUAUUAGAAUUUACACGUGUAAGAACGACGGUUAGAAUUAUAGCACGAAAAUACGGGGUAUUACAUUAUCUCUCCCUUGUAAUCAUUCAUCCUCGAAUUAUGGAUAGGAACUUUUUUAAGUCUUAGAAGGAUGUAAUAAUUUAGACAUGAUGUUUCUACUAAGAAGGGAUAUAACUGAGUUGAAACUAUCAAACUUACAUCAUGAAACUGAUUUCUGAGAUGACUUGCCUUUGCUUACAAUAAGGAGUUGAUUCAUGAUGAGAGUUCAGAAUUUGCUUGAAGUGGUCAUGAUACAAUCAUACAUAUGGAACUGCGAAGUGAUAACUUAUACAAGCACGAAUUAUUAUACAACGAGACUAAGAUCGUACAAUGUGUUUUACACUGUCUGAGCUGGAAUACUUGGUAAACUAAGAUUAUUCACUGAACAUUUAUGAACUGAGUCAUGACUAAAUAUCUUAAUCUAAAAUUGAUGUCUGAUGCAUGGAAUGAGUUGAGUUUGUAAUUUGCGUGAAUGUGAAGAUUUUACCUUAUGAACUGUCCUUACUCGAGUAACUUUGGAUUGUAAGACUAGCUGGAAAAUUGGAAAUCUAUAGGAGCUUGUCUGAUGGAUUGCUAAACGGGAUUCUAGGCUAUAUGGACAGGAUCAUACUGUCUUCUCAUAGUCAAAUGGAGUAUUUCUUCAACACUCCUCUAAGAAAUUCGAAUAACAUUAGGGAGCAAAUACAUCAUAACAUCGAUACAACUCUAUAGCUUGGAACAUGGUCAUAUAAGUCAUGUGCUAGGAUAGAAUCACUAAGCCUUAGGAAAUAUAACAUCUUACUUUCAAGCUUAGCAACACUUCUUAAAUACUCCCUCAACUAUACUAUUUCCCUUAAAUACCAUACGCAUUUGAUUCAACUUAUUAUUCUCACAUAGUCAUUCAUAAAUACAUCUACUAAUGUCUAAACUGAACUAAAUCCUCAUACCGUACGAUCUAGAGUAGGAAAAAAAAGAAAACUUUUCUUAAAUGCCUCAUAGCCUCCCAAAGAAAAGUACAGACGUCUCCGUACUAUUCCGCAAGACUCUACUAUACACGGCUUCACAGACACCCUUGGACACAUGAACCUUUUGUUCUGAUACCAAGUUUGUAACACCUCAAAAAUGGGUUCCGAGAUGUCACACGGUGCUUAGGACCACAAGUGGUCCCAAGCUAACCCUUAUACUGGCGUAACUCAUGAACAACUAAUUAAGAUACAUAAUUCUAAACAAAAUAAGCGAAAGAUGACUCUUUUCUAAAUUUGACCAAUGUAAACCUGAAUUCAGAUAAUUACACCUCUAUUUUUCCAACAAAACUGAAGUAAAAAUACACAACUUUACUGACUGUCUAUGAAGCCUCUACUAUACUGACUAUAAAUAAUUGGGAAGCUACUCUGACUAUCGCUAAACAGUACAUAUGAAUAAGAAAAUAAACAACAUAAAUGAAUCUAACUGAAGUCCCCGAAGUAGGAUGACUCUUCAUCUUACUGACUGGAAUCUGCAACUACCUGAAUUUGAAUGUGCAUACUAAGUCUUUUACCUACAUAAUGAGACAAUGUAGCACAUUGACAUAUAUGUGGAUCAAUACUUUGAGGAUGUACUGAGUAUAUGGGGGUUUAGUGUAUGAGUAAAACAUAUCUCAUGAUCAUCAUUUAUAAAACAAUGCAUGCUAAAUGUAAAUGACUCACAUAGCUUUAGUAAUAUGAAAUUUGGAUAUCAUAAGUCAUGAAGAGUAAAGCAUAUAAUAGAAAACUCGCGAGUCAUCACACUUAGUUCUGAAAUCUUUAGUUCUAUCCCCUUCUCAAAACAUAUAGACUAAGUGGUAAAGAGCUCACCUCUGUAUCUAAAGCUAAGACUGUAACUUUGAAACAGAAAUCUCAAGUAAAACAAUGUCUGAAUAAGCUUGUGAGCCUUUACACUUAGUAUCUAAAAUCUUUCGGGAAAUUACUUUUAAAACAUUUCUUUAUUGGAAAAAAAAGAAAUAACUUAUCUGCAAGGGAAAAUACUUUGAUCUUAAGGGGAUACUUUCAAAAGCUUUUCUUAACUAGUAGGGAAAAUACUUAAAAGUUGUUUAUUUACUUUUACUAAUAGGGAAAAAUACUUUCUUUAAGGGAAAAAUACUUUAAGAAACUACUCUGAAAAGCUUACUAUUAGGGAGGUUCUCUUAACCGACAUAAACCAUGCAAGCUACAUGGAGUCCAACGUUUUUGUCCUCCUAAGGAAGAAACCUCCCAUUGGGGAAGGUGUCAUACUCUUUCCAGGGAGUAUAACCUCAACUUAGUGAUCACUAUCUUGGCCUUAGGCCUAAAAGUCUCAAUUCUACGGUGGCACGUAGUUCUGGGGUAUAAAACCAUAGUAACUUAUCCAACUCGGUGCUAAAUACUACUCCCUUUAAUUAGCUACGCUCAUUCGUGGAAAUCCACAUUAAAACUCACAUAAGGGUUUAUUAAGAAACCAGUUAUACACUUAAUCAUUAUAUGAAUAACUCUGUAAAGUGGAUUUCAAAACUCAUAUGAGGAUCAAAGAUCAUAUACUACUUAUAUAAUUGAGUAUCACUAUAUCAAACUCAUGUAAAGACAUGGCAAAUCAUCAUGCUUCGCAAGCUUUUCUCAAAAUGCUUUAAUAAUAUCAAAGUAAUAGUUUUAAAUCAAAAUCUCAUAUUCAAUUCAAUGAAAAAAAACUAUAAACAAUGUCUCAAAUCAUGUUCAUGGUAUUCAAAGUUACAAAAGAGCCUUCUUUAACUCAAGAAAAUCAUAAAAUUUCAUAAAUCAAUCACAUCAUGCUCAAAAUUCAUCAACCAGAUACUUUGGGUGUAAACCCUAUAUUCAAAAUCAUAAGAAAUUCGCUAGAAACAUAAUUUUGGGGCACAAGAGCGAAAGGAUUGCUCUUGUUCAAACCCCGCAUACCUUAAUGGUGAUGAAAUUUUUGAAAGAUUGGACCUUCAAGCUUGAUUGAAAGAAUCCUUGUAGAGAACUUUGAAUUUGGAGCUUAACUUCUUGAUUCCUGAGAGGUAAACUUAAAUUUUGUUCUUGGGAAGAAGGGAAGGGUUUUGGAUCAUAACUUGACUGAUUUGGGGCUUAGGGAUUGUAAAUAAUGUGUUUAAAAAUCUCUUAUAACAAUUUGGAGUUAUUGGGGACGGUUUAGGGGUGUGAAAUGACUUCAACACCCUUGAUAUAAGUCAAAACGAAGUGUUUUUGGCACUUUAAAGUGACUUAGGCGGCGCCCAAUCUAUCGCACAAGCCAGGUUGGGCGACACCUUGUCAAUCGCCUAAGUUUGGUUGGGCGGCGCCUAACCAAUCGCAUACCCUUACUGCCUCUUACGAAAAUGGGUAUAACUUUUCGCUCGGGUACUAGAUUAAGAAAUUGGUAUCUUUGGAAAGCUAAUUCGAUUAUCUACAAUUUGGUGGGUCUUGAGCUGGAUAAUUCCAUGUCCACAAAAAGUUAUAAACAUUCAAAGUUGACCCUUACAGAAUCGAAUAGAAAGAUUUAGCCAAAUCAAAGGCUCUUAACUCAACUUUGCUCUAAUUGCUUCGUAUGAACAUUUUUCACCUUGAGAGCUCUUCACACACUAGUAUAAUGAUCAUGAAACUAAUAUCCACAUGGAAAUAAUUUGUAUUAGAGCUUACACGUGUAAGAACGACGGUUAGAAUUCUAGCACAAAAAUACAGGGUAUUACAAUUGAAAUGUCAAUUAACUAUUUGAAAAUGGUUUGAGUGUAGUGACUUGAAAUGCGUACUAGUGAAUAAGUUAUUAAAAUUAUUAAGUGUAGUGUCUUAAAAAUGAUUAAAUGUAGUUACUUGAAAUUGCGAACUUGUGAUUGAUCUAUUUAUAUUUAUCAUGAUGUUUUUUAGUUGUACGCAAAUAUAAAUAUAAUAAGGACUGAAAGUUUAUCUGAUUGGUUUUUAUAAUUUGCAUUUUUAUGUAGCCAAGUGAUGUAGCUAGCGGACCCAUUUCGUCCAUGAAUGCAAGAAGACUACGUGGUGAUAGUGAUCCUAAUGACAAUUGUUGAUUUUGUUGCAAAUUAUCUGAAACAUUCAAUUAUGAUGAUGUAAUUGUUUGCCUGGAGCGAAUCUUAGAAAAUUGAAGGUUUUGUGUUUAAAUUUAAUUUUGAAAUUUGAAGAUACUAGUUAAUGUUGAAAAUUUAGAGUUUGAAGAUG